This 444-nucleotide ribosomal RNA is filed under the name uncultured bacterium. RNAcentral's name for it is "bacterial SSU rRNA". It matches the Rfam family "Bacterial small subunit ribosomal RNA", at positions 354 to 796 of the family's 1533-position model. The record is from RNAcentral.
GUAGGGAAUAUUGGGCAAUGGCCGAGAGGCUGACCCAGCCAUGCCGCGUGCAGGAAGAAGGCCUUCUGGGUUGUAAACUGCUUUUAUCUGGGAAGAAAACGCUCUUGCGAGAGUAACUGACGGUACCAGAUGAAUAAGCACCGGCUAACUCCGUGCCAGCAGCCGCGGUAAUACGGAGGGUGCAAGCGUUGUCCGGAUUUAUUGGGUUUAAAGGGUGCGUAGGCGGCCCGUUAAGUCAGCGGUGAAAUCCCACGGCUCAACCGUGGAACUGCCGUUGAUACUGGCGGGCUUGAGUUCGGUCGAGGCGGGCGGAACUGGUGGUGUAGCGGUGAAAUGCUUAGAUACCACCAAGAACCCCGAUUGCGUAGGCAGCUCGCUGGGCCGAAACUGACGCUGAGGCACGAAAGCGUGGGGAGCGAACAGGAUUAGAAACCCCAGUAGUCC